GGGCGUAUAGUUCAGUGGUUGGGCACAUGCUUGGUGAGCAUGAGGUCCUGGGUUCAACUCCCAGUGCCUCCA
This 72-nucleotide transfer RNA is filed under the name Camelus bactrianus (Bactrian camel). It matches the Rfam family "tRNA". Rfam says of the family: Transfer RNA (tRNA) molecules are approximately 80 nucleotides in length. Their secondary structure includes four short double-helical elements and three loops (D, anti-codon, and T loops). Further hydrogen bonds mediate the characteristic L-shaped molecular structure. tRNAs have two regions of fundamental functional importance: the anti-codon, which is responsible for specific mRNA codon recognition, and the 3' end, to which the tRNAs corresponding amino acid is attached (by aminoacyl-tRNA synthetases). tRNAs cope with the degeneracy of the genetic code in two manners: having more than one tRNA (with a specific anti-codon) for a particular amino acid; and 'wobble' base-pairing, i.e. permitting non-standard base-pairing at the 3rd anti-codon position. The record is from Rfam by way of RNAcentral. Lineage: Eukaryota; Metazoa; Chordata; Mammalia; Artiodactyla; Camelidae. RNAcentral also lists the same sequence under 1 other name.